ACGCUGGCGGCGUGCUUAACACAUGCAAGUCGAACGAUGAAGCCUAGCUUGCUAGGUGGAUUAGUGGCGAACGGGUGAGUAAUACGUGAGUAACCUACCUUUAACUCUGGGAUAAGCCUGGGAAACUGAGUCUAAUACCGGAUACGACCAAUCUCCGCAUGGGGUGUUGGUGGAAAGCGUUAUGUAGUGGUUAUAGACGGGCUCACGGCCUAUCAGCUUGUUGGUGAGGUAACGGCUCACCAAGGCGACGACGGGUAGCCGGCCUGAGAGGGUGACCGGCCACACUGGGACUGAGACACGGCCCAGACUCCUACGGGAGGCAGCAGUGGGGAAUAUUGCACAAUGGGCGCAAGCCUGAUGCAGCGACGCCGCGUGAGGGAUGACGGCCUUCGGGUUGUAAACCUCUGUUAGCAGGGAAGAAGAGAGAUUGACGGUACCUGCAGAGAAAGCGCCGGCUAACUACGUGCCAGCAGCCGCGGUAAUACGUAGGGCGCGAGCGUUGUCCGGAAUUAUUGGGCGUAAAGAGCUUGUAGGCGGUUUGUCGCGUCUGCUGUGAAAGGCCGGGGCUUAACUCCGUGUAUUGCAGUGGGUACGGGCAGACUAGAGUGCAGUAGGGGAGACUGGAAUUCCUGGUGUAGCGGUGGAAUGCGCAGAUAUCAGGAGGAACACCGAUGGCGAAGGCAGGUCUCUGGGUUGUAACUGACGCUGAGAAGCGAAAGCAUGGGGAGCGAACAGGAUUAGAUACCCUGGUAGUCCAUGCCGUAAACGUUGGGCACUAGGUGUGGGGGACAUUCCACGUUUUCCGCGCCGUAGCUAACGCAUUAAGUGCCCCGCCUGGGGAGUACGGCCGCAAGGCUAAAACUCAAAGAAAUUGACGGGGGCCCGCACAAGCGGCGGAGCAUGCGGAUUA
Molecule: ribosomal RNA, 910 nt
Filed under: uncultured bacterium
Lineage: Bacteria
Description: bacterial SSU rRNA
Rfam family: Bacterial small subunit ribosomal RNA
Source: RNAcentral